This 83-nucleotide small RNA is filed under the name Marmota monax (woodchuck). Lineage: Eukaryota; Metazoa; Chordata; Mammalia; Rodentia; Sciuridae. The record is from RNAcentral.
GCAGGGUGUGGUGGCACACACCUGUAAUCCCAGCUACUGGGGAGGCUGAGGCAGGAGGAUAGCAAGUUUAAGGCCAGCCUCAG